CUUGGUCAUUUAGAGGAAGUAAAAGUCGUAACAAGGUCUCCGUAGGUGAACCUGCGGAGGGAUCAAUAUCGAACCUGGCCCCCUGGCCACGUCUACCUUGGAAACCCGUGGAAGCGAACCGUGCUUCGGCGCCUCGGCGUCGAGUUUAUGCUGCAGUUGGUAGUUUGCGUCUGAAUCAAACCGAAGAACAUAAAACUUUCAACAGAGGACCUCUUGGCUCUUGUAUCGAUGAAGAACGCAGCAAAGCGCGAAAUGUAGUGAACAUAGCAGCACAAUUUGUGAAUCAUCGAAUCUUUUGAACGCACAUUGCGGCCUCCGGUAGCUCGGAAGGCAUGCCUGUCUGAACGUCAUUUUAAAACCAUGGACCCAGGAUUGGGUCCGUAUUGGGCGUCGCCCCCCUUUUCCAGAGUGGGCGCGUGGCCUCAAAGACAUUGGUCUCACAUGCGGACGAGCUUCCCUGGGACAGACCGCGUGGAGAGACCUAAGCAUCUGACUUUGAUCUCAGAUCAGGUAGGACUACCGCCUGAACUUAAGCAGAUCAAUAAGCGGAGGA
Molecule: ribosomal RNA, 553 nt
Filed under: uncultured Ascomycota
Lineage: Eukaryota; Fungi; Ascomycota
Description: eukaryotic LSU rRNA
Rfam family: 5.8S ribosomal RNA (bases 194-350)
Source: RNAcentral